GACGAACGCUGGCGGCGUGCCUAAUACAUGCAAGUCGAGCGAAGUUUUUCUGGUGCUUGCACUAGAAAAACUUAGCGGCGAACGGGUGAGUAACACGUAAAGAACCUGCCUCAUAGACUGGGACAACUAUUGGAAACGAUAGCUAAUACCGGAUAACAGUAUUUCUCGCAUGAGAGAUAUUUAAAAGUUGGUUAUGCUAACACUAUGAGAUGGCUUUGCGGUGCAUUAGCUAGUUGGUGGGGUAAAGGCCCACCAAGGCGACGAUGCAUAGCCGACCUGAGAGGGUGAUCGGCCACACUGGGACUGAGACACGGCCCAGACUCCUACGGGAGGCAGCAGUAGGGAAUCUUCCGCAAUGGGCGAAAGCCUGACGGAGCAACGCCGCGUGAGUGAAGAAGGAUUUCGGUUCGUAAAGCUCUGUUGUUAGGGAAGAAUGGAUAUGUAGUAACUAUACAUGUAAGAGACGGUACCUAACCAGAAAGCCACGGCUAACUACGU
This 498-nucleotide ribosomal RNA is filed under the name uncultured bacterium. RNAcentral's name for it is "partial 16S ribosomal RNA". It matches the Rfam family "Bacterial small subunit ribosomal RNA", at positions 28 to 506 of the family's 1533-position model. The record is from RNAcentral.